UACGGGGGGAGCAAGCGUUGUUCGGAUUUACUGGGCGUAAAGAGCUCGUAGGCGGUCUGUCGCGUCUGCUGUGAAAACUCGGGGCUUAACCCCGGGCCUGCAGUGGGUACGGGCAGACUAGAGUCAGGUAGGGGAGAACGGAAUUCCUGGUGUAGCGGUGAAAUGCGCAGAUAUCAGGAGGAACACCGGUGGCGAAGGCGGUUCUCUGGGCCGGUACUGACGCUGAGGAACGAAAGCGUGGGGAGCGAACAGG
Molecule: ribosomal RNA, 253 nt
Filed under: uncultured bacterium
Lineage: Bacteria
Description: partial 16S ribosomal RNA
Rfam family: Bacterial small subunit ribosomal RNA
Source: RNAcentral